This 579-nucleotide ribosomal RNA is filed under the name uncultured Phoma. RNAcentral's name for it is "eukaryotic LSU rRNA". The stretch from base 209 to 362 matches the Rfam family "5.8S ribosomal RNA". The record is from RNAcentral. Lineage: Eukaryota; Fungi; Ascomycota.
UCUUGGUCAUUUAGAGGAAGUAAAAGUCGUAACAAGGUUUCCGUAGGUGAACCUGCGGAAGGAUCAUUACCUAGAGUUGUAGGCUUUGCCUGCUAUCUCUUACCCAUGUCUUUUGAGUACCUUCGUUUCCUCGGCGGGUCCGCCCGCCGAUUGGACAAUUUAAACCAUUUGCAGUUGCAAUCAGCGUCUGAAAAAACUUAAUAGUUACAACUUUCAACAACGGAUCUCUUGGUUCUGGCAUCGAUGAAGAACGCAGCGAAAUGCGAUAAGUAGUGUGAAUUGCAGAAUUCAGUGAAUCAUCGAAUCUUUGAACGCACAUUGCGCCCCUUGGUAUUCCAUGGGGCAUGCCUGUUCGAGCGUCAUUUGUACCUUCAAGCUCUGCUUGGUGUUGGGUGUUUGUCUCGCCUCUGCGCGCAGACUCGCCUCAAAACAAUUGGCAGCCGGCGUAUUGAUUUCGGAGCGCAGUACAUCUCGCGCUUUGCACUCAUAACGACGACGUCCAAAAGUACAUUUUUACACUCUUGACCUCGGAUCAGGUAGGGAUACCCGCUGAACUUAAGCAUAUCAAUAAGCGGAGGA